CCCUUAGAUGUUCUGGGCAGCACGCGCGCUACAAUGGUCUUCGCAAACGGAUGCAUUCUCGAAGGAGAAUGCCAAUCUUGGAAUCUAUGCCUUGGUCGGGACAGUUGCUUGCAAUUUUUCGACUCGAACCAGGAAUUCCUUGUAAUCGUGAUUCAUCACAUCACGAUGAAUACGUCCCUGCCCUUUGUACACACCGCCCGUCGCUCCUACCGAUCGAAGAGUUAGGUGAAUUGUUUUGAUCGAUAAGAUUUGACUAUGGUCAACUCUCGUUGUGAAAUUCUGUGAAUCUGACUGGUUAGAGGAAGGAAAAGUCGUAACA
This 319-nucleotide ribosomal RNA is filed under the name uncultured eukaryote. Its description in RNAcentral is "partial 18S ribosomal RNA". It matches the Rfam family "Eukaryotic small subunit ribosomal RNA", at positions 1470 to 1796 of the family's 1831-position model. The record is from RNAcentral.